Lynx canadensis (Canada lynx) is the source of this 491-nucleotide non-coding RNA. Lineage: Eukaryota; Metazoa; Chordata; Mammalia; Carnivora; Felidae. The record is from the annotation of a RefSeq genome assembly.
UCCGGUAGACCAAACACACAGGCAAUGAACUCUUCUCUGGGCUCUCUCAUUCUGAUCUUAAUGUUUGGAGGAACCAGUGGCAAUUCGGUCAAACAGACAGACCAAAUUACUGCCUUGGAAGGAGCAUCUGUGACCAUGAAUUGCACGUACACAUCCACACAGUACCCUACUCUUUUCUGGUAUGUCCAAUACCCCAACAAAGCUCUGCAAUUUCUUCAGAAAGAGACGAUGGAAAACAGCAAGAACUUUGGAGGCAGAAAUAUUAAAGACAAAACCUCCCCUAUCACAAAAUCCUCAGUCCAGGUACAAGACUCGGCGGUGUACUACUGUCUUCUGAGAGAUACACACAGUGCCAAGGGCGUGGGAGGACCUGUACAAAAACCUCAGGGGCCCAGGCAAGGUAUGCAGUGAGCCUGGGAACCCCAAGCUGAGGAACCUUGUUCUCUCUCACAGUCCUGUUGGGACAUUGUUGGAAGAUAAAUAAAAACAAA